This 580-nucleotide long non-coding RNA is filed under the name Hordeum vulgare. RNAcentral's name for it is "long non-coding RNA (HVUL_LNC016076)". The record is from RNAcentral. Lineage: Eukaryota; Viridiplantae; Streptophyta; Magnoliopsida; Poales; Poaceae.
UGUAGUGAGGUGAAACGUAGCAAGCGAAAAGUAACAAGUAACAAGUAGUAGCAAUGGUGCAGCAAGUGGUUCAAUCCCUUUUGUAACAAGGGACAAGCCUGAACAAAGUCUUAUAAGAGGAAAAACGCUUCCGAGGACACACGGGAAUUUCUGUCAUGCUAGUUUCAUCAUGUUCAUAUGAUUCGCGUCCGUUACUUUGAUAGUUUGAUAUGUGGGUGGACCGGCGCUUGGGUACUGCCCUUACUUGGACAAGCAUCACACUUAUGAUUAACCCCUCUCGCAAGCAUCCGCAACUACGAAAGAAGAAUUAAGACAACGUCUAACCAUAGCAUUAAACUAGUGAAUCCAAAUCAGCCCCUUACGAAGCAACACAUAGACUGGGGUUUAAGCUUCUGUCACUCCAGCAACCCAUCAUCUACUUACUACUCCCCAAUGCCUUCCUCUAGGCCCAAAUAUGGUGAAGUGUUAUCUAGUCGAUGUUCACAUAACACCAUUAGAGGAAAAACGACAUACAACAUAUCAAAAUACCGAACGAAUACCACACUCACAUGACUAUUAUUAGCAUGACUUAUCCCAUGUC